Molecule: ribosomal RNA, 253 nt
Filed under: uncultured bacterium
Lineage: Bacteria
Description: partial 16S ribosomal RNA
Rfam family: Bacterial small subunit ribosomal RNA
Source: RNAcentral
UACGGAGGGUGCAAGCGUUAUCCGGAUUCACUGGGUUUAAAGGGUGCGUAGGUGGGGAUGUAAGUCAGUGGUGAAAUCUCCGUGCUUAACAUGGAAAUUGCCAUUGAUACUAUAUUUCUUGAAUUUUCCGGAGGUCAGCGGAAUAUGUCAUGUAGCGGUGAAAUGCUUAGAUAUGACAUAGAACACCAAUUGCGAAGGCAGCUGACUACAGGGAUAUUGACACUGAGGCACGAAAGCGUGGGGAUCAAACAGG